AGAGUUGAUCAUGGCUCAGGACGAACGCUGGCGGCAUGCCUAACACAUGCAAGUCGAACGGGGGUAGCAAUACCCUAGUGGCGAACGGGUGAGUAACACAUAAGCAAUCUGCCCUUCACAGGGGGAUAACAGCGGGAAACUGCUGCUAAUACCGCAUAAGACCACGGUACCGCAUGGUACAGGGGUAAAAACGAAUCAGUGGUGAAGGAUGAGCUUAUGUCCCAUUAGCUAGUUGGCGAGAUAACAGCCCACCAAGGCGACGAUGGGUAGCCGACCUGAGAGGGUGAUCGGCCACACUGGAACUGAGACACGGUCCAGACUCCUACAGGAGGCAGCAGUGGGGAAUAUUGGGCAAUGGAGGAAAAACCUCUUACCCAGCAAUGCCGCGUGAGUGAAGAAGGUCUUCGGAUUGUAAAGCUCUUUGAUUGGGGACGAAGAAAGUGACGGUACCCAAAGAACAAGCCCCGGCUAACUACGUGCCAGCAGCCGC
This 490-nucleotide ribosomal RNA is filed under the name uncultured bacterium. RNAcentral describes it as "bacterial SSU rRNA". It matches the Rfam family "Bacterial small subunit ribosomal RNA", at positions 8 to 518 of the family's 1533-position model. The record is from RNAcentral.